GAGUUUGAUCAUGGCUCAGGGUGAACGCUGGCGGCGUGCCUUACACAUGCAAGUUGAACGAGAACGGCUCAAUUUGCUUCUUCGGAAGCAAAAUGAGCUUGGGACAGUAGCGAACGAGUGAGUAACACGUAGUAACCUGCCCACUGGAGGGGGAGAACCACUGGAAACGGUGGCUAAUACCGCAUAAGCCCGAAAGGGGAAAGCAAUUUAUUGUGCCGGUGGAGGGGACUGCGGGCCAUCAGGAAGAUGGUGAGGUAAAAGCUCACCAAACCGACGACGGCUAUCUGACGUGAGAGCGUGAUCAGACACGAGGACACUGAGAAACGGGUCCUACUCCUACGGGAGGCAGCAGUGGGGAAUAUUGGACAAUGGGGGAAACCCUGAUCCAGCGACGCCGCGUGAACGACGAAGUCCUUCGGGAUGUAAAGUUCUUUUAAAUGGGAAGAAGACAGUGACGGUACCAAUUGAAUAAGCCCCGGCUAACUACGUGCCAGCAGCCGCGGUAA
This 506-nucleotide ribosomal RNA is filed under the name uncultured Actinomycetes bacterium. RNAcentral describes it as "bacterial SSU rRNA". It matches the Rfam family "Bacterial small subunit ribosomal RNA", at positions 9 to 523 of the family's 1533-position model. Lineage: Bacteria; Bacillati; Actinomycetota; Actinomycetes. The record is from RNAcentral.